This 400-nucleotide ribosomal RNA is filed under the name uncultured bacterium. RNAcentral's name for it is "bacterial SSU rRNA". It matches the Rfam family "Bacterial small subunit ribosomal RNA", at positions 355 to 747 of the family's 1533-position model. The record is from RNAcentral.
UCGAGAAUCUUUCGCAAUGGACGAAAGUCUGACGAAGCGACGCUGUGUGAGCGAUGAAGGCCUUCGGGUUGUAAAGCUCUUUCGCAUAGGAACAAGAAAGGCUGGUGAAUAGCCAGUUGAUUUGAGGGUACUAUGUAAAGAAGCACCGGCUAACUCCGUGCCAGCAGCUGCGGUAAUACGGAGGGUGCAAGCAUUAAUCGGAUUUAUUGGGCGUAAAGGGCGCGUAGGCGGAUUUGAAAGUCAGAUGUGAAAUACCGAAGCUCAACUUCGGUGCUGCAUUUGAAACUCCAAGUCUAGAGGAAUGGCGGAGAAAAUGGAAUUCCACGUGUAGCGGUGAAAUGCGUAGAUAUGUGGAAGAACACCUGUGGCGAAAGCGGUUUUCUAGCUUUUUCCUGACGCU